This 419-nucleotide ribosomal RNA is filed under the name bacterium. RNAcentral describes it as "partial 16S ribosomal RNA". It matches the Rfam family "Bacterial small subunit ribosomal RNA", at positions 356 to 776 of the family's 1533-position model. The record is from RNAcentral.
UGGGGAUAUUGCACAAUGGGCGAAAGCCUGAUGCAGCGACGCCGCGUGGGGGAUGAAGGCUUUCGGGUUGUAAACCUCUUUCGCUAUCGAACAAGGCCCGCUUAGGGUGGGUUGAGGGUAGGUGGAGAAGAAGCGCCGGCUAACUACGUGCCAGCAGCCGCGGUAAUACGUAGGGCGCGAGCGUUGUCCGGAAUUAUUGGGCGUAAAGGGCUUGUAGGCGGCUUGUUGCGCCUGCUGUGAAAACGCGGGGCUUAACUUCGCGCGUGCAGUGGGUACGGGCAGGCUUGAGUGUGGUAGGGGUGACUGGAAUUCCAGGUGUAGCGGUGGAAUGCGCAGAUAUCUGGAGGAGCACCGAUGGCGAAGGCAGGUCACUGGGCCAUUACUGACGCUGAGGAGCGAAAGCGUGGGUAGCGAACAGG